Molecule: non-coding RNA, 117 nt
Organism: Triticum aestivum (bread wheat)
Lineage: Eukaryota; Viridiplantae; Streptophyta; Magnoliopsida; Poales; Poaceae
Source: Rfam
UUCAUACUCCCUCCGUCUUAAAAUUCUUAUCUUAGAUUUGUCUAGAUACGGAUGUACUUGAUACAUCCGUAUCUAAACAAAUCUAAGACAAGAAUUUUAGGACGGAGGGAGUAUAUG